Long non-coding RNA from Dermochelys coriacea (leatherback sea turtle), 7779 nucleotides. RefSeq lists it as uncharacterized. NCBI's taxonomy places the organism in Eukaryota, Metazoa, Chordata, Testudines, Dermochelyidae. The transcript is spliced from 2 exons. The record is from RefSeq and is a predicted model, not a curated record.
AAAGGCCUUGUUUUAAUAUGCAUGUUUUGAAUAUUUUAGUCUGAUUUGUUUUAUAUAUAACCCAUUAAUGGGAACUAAUGCAUAGAACUACAUUUAAAAUGUGUGUGGAAACUUUUGUUACAUGUGAAAUUUAAGACUCAGAGUGCAGGAAGGCCUAAAAUAGUAUUAUUGUUUAUAGUUUCCACUGAACACUAUAUAAAGGUAUGCUGAGUUUAUAAAUGCAAUGAUCAAAGAACUAGAGAAAUGAUGUACCGUGAAUGCUUGAUUUUUUUAAGUGUGUAAAUAGCUAUUUAAAAUAUUCGAAUGCUGUAUCAUAGUAUCCAUACUAUAAGUUUAUAUUAGUAGCUAAGAAACCACUACAAGCUUUCUUGUUUGUAAUGAGGUCCACAAAUCCAUGAUAUUGCAUACUCUGCCCUGUAGCGUUGGAGGCAGAUGUGAUCGGUAAAUCGGAGGUAGAGGAAGCAUGUCUCCACCUCUCAGAAUCCCCAGCUUUGUGUGUGUGUGUCUGUCUGUCUGUCUCUCUCUCUCUCUCUCUAGUGACAGGCAGACCAGGUCAUCCCUACUGCAGAGCAAAUUUAAAGAGAGAAAAAUGGCAUAAAAUCUCCAGGCUGUCACAUCUUCCUUUAUUGGCAGAAAGGAUUCCCUUUCUUCUCAGUUGCUGGAACUUUCUGCAUUCCCUGCUCACCCAUGCAGACUGCAGCAUGGCAGAGAAGGCUAAGAGGAAAAACCUGCAUUGUUUCCUGCACGUGUUCUGCUAAUUAAUGUCUGCAUGGAGAUCUCUGCUUGUCCUGUGGAGACCCAGGCACUUCAUGUGCUCAGACAAGGGCAGUGUUUCCAGAAGACCCCCUCCUUCAAACAGGAGAGUUCCCAGGAACACGUGGCAAUACCUCACCAGCAAAAUCCCUCAGGCCUGACACAGAUGACAGCAGCAGCCUUGGGACCAGGAAGUGGCAGCUUGCUCUUCCCCACCCAAUGCGGGGACGAGUGUUUCUUCUAGUUCCCUGGUGUCCAUUCUACAAUGUCAGAUGCCUUGGUGUGCACUAGUCAAAAUUUUAUUCUAGUGUCACUAGUGAAGAUAAAUGGUGGUCAAGGACUUGUAGCAUCUAGCGGGAAAACAUUUUUACCGGAAAGCGUGGCCCCUUCGUUGCAUGUGAAGGGCCUAUAUAGUGAAGUCCAGGCAGGCUUCACCUCAUCACCUUCAUUCGGGCCUUAAAACUAUCGAGGUCACCAGGCCCACAAGAAUAACUAAAUAACCAAAGAAAAUUGUCAUCUGACUCCCCAAGUGCCCUUGCAUGCCUUCACAAACAAUGCUAAUGUGGGUGGACAGUAUUGCAAGUAUGGUCUCUCUCAACUUGUUUUAAAAAAAAUUGUACAGACUCCCCGGAGGAGUCAGGGAAUGCAGACCGCUAUCCUAGAUAUCCUAUGAAUGGGUGCAAAUGAACCUGUCCCUGCUCUUCAAAAUCAAAGCCUUCCAUGUUUUUCCUAGGCCAUCCCCAAAAGAAUCAGAAAGCUACAGCUAUCAGGAUGCACUUCACUGCUAUCUCAGCUUUUCACACUCAUGCAAGGGUUGACAGUAUUCACUCACUACAAUAACCAUGUUGAUGAAAGUAUUGUUGUACCACCGGCACCAUAGGCUUGAAUCCUAUUCUCACAAAGCUAGUGCAGCCUCUGUUCAAACUUAAGUCAAACUGUUCUAUGUACCAUUUAUCUUUUGAGGACAGUAAUCUUCAUAGCCAUUACACCAGCCCGAAGUUGUGAUACGAUUCUGUUUCUCCCAAUGUUGUGUUCCAUAAGAAUAAGGUGAUUGUCUCUUUAUUCAUAAUUCUUGUCUAAAUUGACCCCUGAUUCCAUGUUAAUGGGGCAGUAACCCUGUUUAGAUCUCCCCCCCACCCCCAACCUCAUUGGUAUUUAAAGGAGCUCAAACUCUGUAUUCUAGAUGUUUGGAGGGCCCAAAGUUUGAUUCUAAAUAGACAAUUUGUUCUGGUUCCCCAUGCCUCUCAGGCAGAUGAAGGAAGACCAGGGCUAUGCCAAUCACAGCCCAAAGGCUGUCUAAAUGUUUGACACUAUGUAUUACUCUUGUGAUCUUGCAGGUGUUCAGCCUUCUGGAGAUGUCUGUUUAAGCAGAACUAGACACAUGGCAGUUCUUAUAGUGUGUUCUUGCUCUGUCAUCGUCUUAGUAUUUUUCAGAGCUGCUAAUUGAAACUCUGUAUGCUCUAAGUGGCAAUGUUUCCCUCAACUUGGUCUCUAAAUCAGAGGCCCAGUUUGGGAGAACAGUAUUAGUCAUUUCUUACUAAUACUCUCAACUUGACUCUCCAAACUGAUGUACUAUUUGGGAGGAUAUUUCUGUACUCUGUUAAACUAGAACUUCUCCACCAACCCGAGUGGAGAUUGUAGUGCUUACUAAAUGCCUACAAGUGGGAACAGAGCAAGCAGAGGCCACCUUGAAGAAGAAAGUUACUUACAGUAACUGUAGUUCUCUUGGUGUUUAUGCUCAGUACCCACCCUCUCUUCAAAUCUUUGGAGUCUAGUAUUAAGUAUUGCCAUUGAAGGACAGCAAGAAAAGAACAUAGAAAGGAAAUGUGGCCCCAACUGUCACUGCUCUCUAUAUUCCAUGUUUGUAUGUCCCACUUAUCCACAUGUGGGAAUGUGCAGCAAUGCUCUUGAGCUAACCUUACUGAUUAGUAGCUUCUCUAUUUCAGUUUGUAAACUUUGAGGCCAGUAGCAGCUGAGAACGCUGUGUAAAUAGUAUGUUCAGUCAUUGUAGAGAAAAGAUUACUUUGUACUAUUCUUGAACUACUUUUCCCAGUUUAUAGUUGUGGCCAAAUCCCUUGGCUGGAGGAAAGGAUUAUUGGGAACAGCAAGGGAAAAUUGGGGAAUUUACCCUCCAAAAAUGUAUUUAAUUCUGUAUAAUAAUUUGAGCUUUCAUUUAAAUUUUUGUAGAAGGACCUGCAUUUUUCAAAAAUAAUUUAAGAACUUUCUUAAUGCAAUAAAUUAAACACAGCCCAUGUUGUUUGUUUGAGGAUUCCAUAUGCUCUUUAUUGAGAGUUUGUAUAGCAUGCGGUUCUCAAACCUGGGGUUCAGGACCCCUCAGGGGUUGUGAUGUUAUUACAGGGGGGUCAUAAGCUGUCAGCCUCCAUCCAAACCCUGCUUUGCCUCCAGCAUUUAUAAUGGUGGUAAAUAUAUAAAGAAGUCUUUUUAAUUUUAUAAGAGGGGGUCAUACUCGGAGGCUUGCUGUGUGAAAGGGAUCACCAGUGCAAAAGUUUGAGAACUACUGGUAUAGCAUACAUCAGUCAGGCAAAUGAUGCAAUAAACAUUGCCUUACCUUGCAUCUAAACAAUUAUAUAAUUGCAGAAUAAGGAAAUGAGACAAUGGGUAGAUGCUCAGAUACUAAAGUAUAUACACAGAAAUAACAGGGUGGGUCUUUAAUGUGGAUGAAUUGUACUGGUGCUUCAAAAUACAUAAUUAUGUAUGUUCUGCAUGAUGGACGUUUGGGAAGCGAUUCCAGGAUGUAUUUUCCCAUUUUGUCUUAUAGCUGAUAAAUGGACUUGUCCUUCAGCCAUUCCUUAUGUCCGGGUGUCUUAUUUUUCUUCCCAAUGUUUAAGAAUUAUACAUGUGGCUAUAAUCAUAGCUACUAUUUCCCUAAAUAAUGUGUGAGAUCACAGUUCAGAAUAAUCAAAAACACAGAUGGGCUUGCAUCUUCCCAAUAUCUUAAUGCUUUAGUUUUUGGUGUAUUUCUAGCCAAUAUUUUGCUGUAGUAGGGCAAUACUUUAUAUACUCCCUUUUUGACAUGGCCAGGUGUGAACAGUGGAUUUACAUCCUAAUUUCUGAAGUUUGAGGAGUAAAAUGAAAUCUUUCAUUUUUACAAUCUGUAGUCAUUUUAAAAUUGAUACCUGGUUGCUCUGUACCCAUUUUACUAGCUUUCUGUUUUAUAUUUUGACUACUAGCUUCUGUGUUAAAUGCAAUGUUUUCUGUCUUGGAUUAUUGGGAAAUUGUUAAGCCACUUAAUGUUUGAAGUAUUUAGAAGGUUUCCUAGGUUUUUUUGUUUGUGUUUUUUGUUUUUGUUUUGUUUUUAAAUACAGGAUGGAUUUGGAGACUAUGUAUUCCAUCACUGCAUAUACCAGCCAGUCGUAUUACAAUUGUCUAGCCAUAUUUUGUAUAAUGUGGGCCAGAUUCUUCCCUUCCCUUUCUGAUCCCUCUUCAUAGGUUCAGUGAUACAAAGGGGUGAAUCCAGUUGAAUCUGUUCAGCUGAGAACUCCCCUGGUAUGAGUAUUCUCAGCCUGGCUUUACACCAGCUAUCAGGCUCCUCUGCCUCUACUUCCCCCAUAGGCCAAAUGGUAUGGAGGGGUAUGGCCAGUGCUUCAGCUCUUCUCAGCUGGUAGACUGUCUCUUUUAGGAAAGUUGCCAGUUGGCAUACGUUCAAGUUGUCCCUGUUCUGUUCUAGUUGACACUGGGACCAGGGACAACUGAGGCAGAAUCAGAAAGCCAAAACAAGCUAUUUGAAGCUUUCUUUACUGUGCUAAGUUGAUCUUGAAUGUAGAUCUGUUUCUGUAUUUUCAUAUUCUACUUUAAAUACCUGUCUUGCCGGAUAAGCUCCCGGCUUAAGUAUCUGGCUAGGUAUAUGUUCACAAGUGCCUGAUAGUAAGGCUAGGUCUAACUUUUAGAAGUGCUUUGCUGGUAUACUAUGCUGGCAAAGUGCUCCUCGUGUGGACACAGUUUUGAUACCAGCAAACACAGCCCCCUGGUCACCUUCCCCACAAAAUAAGCUAUACAACUAAAAGAGCAGUUUUGCCAGUAUUACUGCAUUUAUACUAGAGGCUAGAGACUUCUGACCAACGUAGCUAUGCUGGCAAAAGUUUGUCAUGUAUACUUAGCCUAAGUUUUGUAUGUAUUGAAUUGGUAAAAUUUAAAAACUUCUUACAAAUACCAGUGCAAAUGUACACCAUACUACUGUAUUAGUUACGAAAAUUAAAGCAGAGUUCCUAAAGGGAGUGGCUUCUCAUAUCUUCAAGAGGAGCUCUGAGUUUUAUUUUUCUAAGGCAGACAGGACUACUUUAAAACAUACUGGCAGACAUCUUUCUCAACAUAUCAAUGUUGCACAAUGUUCCCGUGGGGGAGAAUGUCUAAAAGUGUGUGAUACCACUAUUUCAACAUGUAUUAAAAAAAAUAAAAUAAAAUAAAAAAUGACCCUGUUUCACAAAUUGUAUUAAAUGGUGAAUACUGUUUUUAUUAAAACCUUUUUUAAAAAAAAAACAAACCCUAUGGCUAUUUUUUCUCAGUUUUCUAUUUUCUUCUGUGAUAUUCUAAAAUAUUUCACUACUUUAAAGCUUCUGUUUUCCAUUUAUGCUGUUUGGUUUUAUUUUGUGUUCGUCCUUUAUUUAGAUUUUUCCUAUGCAUGUUUUGCAUAUCCACUUUUCCAUAAGGAAAACUAGAUCAAUUCACAUUUUGAAAUCCAUUUUUUAAUUUCCUUUUUCUCCAUUACUUUUGUCUACCUCUUCCCAUCUAUUCCCACUAGCUUCUUCUGUGCUCUGUACCUGUCUGUUCUUAAUUCUGUUUCAGUUAACCCUUUUCUCCAGUCUGACGUGUUCUCUCCCUGAUGCUGCUUCAAUGAACUUCCUAGCAGUCAGACUGUAAAGAGCUGUGUGCCUCUGGCAGAGGAUGGGAGGAGUACUUGGUGCUGAUUUGGUUCUUUCCCCUUUAAGUCUUCCAAGCACCAGUUUAUGAAUUGCUUUUCUGUGGCCAUGCUCUUAUGGGAGUGAGCGAUGUAGAGGAAGGUUGUUGCACUGGCUGCCUUCUGGUUCGGGCAGCAGAAAUCUGGGUUCUGGCUCUGUUACAGUCUGCCUGUGUGGCCUUGGACAGGUCAUUGAAUCUUUCCCUUGUUCCCCAUUUGUAAAAUGGGUGUUAGUUACCAAAAGUAGAUUCUCAAUCACUUAAAGUCUUUGAAUCAAGAUAGAUGUCUUCCUACAAAAAACUCCAGACUGACCAGAAAUAAUGGCUUGAUAAAGGAACUACUGCGUGAAAUUGUAUCGUGUAUUAUGCAGUUUGACAGAUUAGAUGAUCAUAAUGGUCACUUCUGGCCUUAAAAAUCUGUGAAUGAGCAGAGCACAUUUCACUGCGAUUUUUGUCAUCACAGACAAAUGGGAAUCUUCUUGCUCCUAGAAGGUGGCGAUAGGAAUCAUUUAUGACAUCCCUAUAUAAAAAAAGUAGCUGGUUGUAACUUGAUUGAGUAUGCUAGUAGCAACUAGCAUAAACCAAAUGUUGUGCUCUCUUCCUAAGCUCCAGGGUCCCUGCUGCUGCUCACAGCUUUGCAAAGCUGCAGCAGAGUGAAAACUAACUAGCCUUGCCAGUUUUGUUAUGCAGAAGUGAAACUCUCAAAAAUUAGGUCAGUUUCACGCUGUGUGGAGAAAACUGAGCUGCAGCAGAGGCAGGCACUAAAGCAAUUUACUGGGGAAGAGAACUUAAAAUGGAGAUACCAGCUCACAGCAGCCACAGAAUAGAGUAGCUGUGACUCUUAUCACAGUGGCUAGGAGACUCUGGGGUGCAUGGAAGGAACAUAAAGGGAAGAUCUUCUGCCUUAAAUCAGCUAAAUAGGGUUCAGUGAGAGGGGGCUAAAUAUAUAUAUAAUAUAUUGGACAGCUAACUAGAGACAGUAUGAAGGAUGGAACCCCUGAACAAGCAUCCAAACUCUCCCUUAUCUAGAUCAGUAGUUAAUCUGUUUCAGUAUCUGGUCUCUGGCCAGUUACCUAAUUUCUUAAAGAGAGAGAUGCAAGAAACCUCAAAUGGGACAAUUGUAUAGUAACCAGCCCCUAUAGGAAGUCAGUUAAUGGUUAGCUUAUUCCUUGAAUGAAGCUUGACGGUUUUAUAUGCCUUCCAAAUGUUAAGGUUUUUCUAAAAUGUGAUCUUAACAUAGCUGGAUGUUCUUACUAUUCAUAUAAUCUUAGUCUUUUUUUUAAUCUUGCUAAGCUCUUGGCCUCAGUGGUAUCUGAUGAGGAUGAAUUAACAGACUAAUAGUGUGGUUUGCAAAAAAUACUUCCUGUCAUCAGUUUUAAAUUUGUUGCCUGUCAGUUUCAUUGAAUGCCUCCUUAUUGUUGCAUUAUGAGAACAGCUAAAUAGAAGUACCCAGUCCACUUCCUCUGUACCAUUCAUUAUUUAUAUAUCUAUCAUGUCUCUCCAUUAUUUGUUCUCUGAACAGUUCCAGUAUUUGCUAUCUCUCCAUUUGAAAUAUUUUCCAUUCCACUGUUUCAUCAUCUAGUUCUGAACCCUUUCUAUUUCUGCUACAUAUUUUUGAGAGGGUGAUCAGAGUUGAACAUGUUAUUCCAUAAAAUGGGUUGUAUUCUAAACUGAAUGAAGAAGCUCUUGGGUAGCAGAGAAAAUGCUUUCUCUUUUUCCAGCAGGAGUGACAGAGGUUGAUAAUGGUCUGUGUGAGUCUGGAAAGCCAAUAUGUAAGAUGGAGAGGACUGAGCAGGAUCCAGAAACAGCACCCACUUUGCAAUUGUACCACCAACCUCUUUUCAAACAGGGAGGGGCCUGGCCACCUCUCCAGGGCUUUGUUCCUUGAUCUGACCCGAGGGGACCUGCAUAAUUUUUCACAUGUUCUUUGGCCAAAAAUUAGGAUUUUUUUCAAGUCCUAAUCCUAAGACUUUUUUCUGGAGUUUAAAAUUUGAUGGUACUUAUUUUGAUGAGUUGAAAUUUGACAUUGCCUCUGUAUAGGAGGAUUUUAUUUCAGAGUUGGGUUUGUGCUUUAACAAGGUGAUGCUUCAUUUUACUUGUAAGUAAUUUUUU